AAGACCUCGCGCUAUUGGAGCGGCCGAUGUCCGAUUAGCUAGUUGGUGGGGUAAUGGCCCACCAAGGCGACGAUCGGUAGCUGGUCUGAGAGGAUGAUCAGCCACACUGGGACUGAGACACGGCCCAGACUCCUACGGGAGGCAGCAGUGGGGAAUUUUGGACAAUGGGCGAAAGCCUGAUCCAGCCAUGCCGCGUGAGUGAAGAAGGCCUUCGGGUUGUAAAGCUCUUUCGGUCGGAACGAAAUCGCGCGAGCUAACACCUCGCGUGGAUGACGGUACCGGAAGAAGAAGCACCGGCUAACUACGUGCCAGCAGCCGCGGUAAUACGUAGGGUGCAGGCGUUAAUCGGAAUUACUGGGCGUAAAGCGUGCGCAGGCGGCUUCCUAAGUCAGAUGUGAAAUCCCCGGGCUCAACCUGGGAACU
RNAcentral lists this ribosomal RNA (423 nucleotides) under uncultured bacterium. Its description in RNAcentral is "bacterial SSU rRNA". It matches the Rfam family "Bacterial small subunit ribosomal RNA", at positions 202 to 622 of the family's 1533-position model. The record is from RNAcentral.